This 1528-nucleotide long non-coding RNA is filed under the name Ailuropoda melanoleuca (giant panda). Its description in RNAcentral is "lncRNA (ENSAMEG00000030233.1)". The record is from RNAcentral. Lineage: Eukaryota; Metazoa; Chordata; Mammalia; Carnivora; Ursidae.
UAUAUUUUUAAAAGAUUUUAUUUAUUUAUUUAUUUAAUUGAGAGAAAGAGAGAGGAGAGAGAGACAGAGCACAAGCAGGGGGAGCAACAGAGGCAGAGGGAGAAGCAGACUCCUCGUGGAGCAGGGAGCCCGAUGCGGGACUUGAUCCCAGGACCCUGAGAUCUGACCUGGGCUGAAGGCAGACCAUUCACCCAGUGCCCCAAAACUUUGUUUUUAAAAUAAAAGAAAUAAAACAUUUUUAUGCUCCCCGUCCCGCCGCUUACCUUCCUGUAGCUGCCGAGGUGACACUGUCACGGAUAUGCACCCGCGUGUCACCACAGGGGGCUGCCGCUCCCUCUGCAUAUGACAGAAUCAGCCACAGAAGGACGUGGGUGCACAGAGCAUGGAGUUUGGGGUCAGGCGGACCAGGGUUUGAGGACUGCCUCGCCACCUCUGGCCUGGGUCCUCUGGCCUCUGAACCUCAGCUUCCCCGUCCGUAACCUGGUGUUGAUUAGCUUGUAGCAUUGUUGUUGACAUUGGAGAUAAUGCUUACGUGGUUGGGUCAAUAAAGGAAUCGAUAUGAUUCAACAACUUUUCUCCCUUUUUUCCUAGGUGGGAAGCCCUUUGAGAGCAGGGCAGCUGCCCCAGCCUGUAUUAAAUACCCUCUGUAUUCUUGGCAAUGCUUCCUGGCUCAGCGUAGAAGCUAAUUAGUUGUUUCUUGAAGAAAUGAUUGAAAUGCCCCAGCCCCACUCCCGCCUCAACGCAGACAGAUGCAAGGGCCUGUGUGCCCAGGGGGCAUGGGGACGGUUGAGCUGAGGACGCUUACCAGGUUCUGUAGCCUCGCCUCGAACCACACAUCACCCAGUGUCAUGGUGAAGGAGGGCGUGCGGAGCCACAUUAUUGCACUUGAUGUUCUUAAAUCAUGGAUUUGACAUGGCUGAUGGUUCAGGUGCAUUUUUGCAAUAUUGUGCCCUCACUCCACUGCUAAAUGCUCAUUUUGCAGUCCCCACCACCCCCUGCUGCCCCGGCCGCACCAUGGUCGGGACAUCUGUCUCUGGCAGAACAUGGGAAAUACAGGGCACGGGACAUGGGGAACACAUGGAACAGGUCACAGGGGACACAGAGGACGCAGGACACAGAUACGGGCAGGAAGGGGACAGCAGGGGGCGCCAAACCCGCACAUUUGUGCCGGGAGACGGCGCCUGACAGAGCGACAGGGCCUCAGGCUCCCGUUUUUUUUUGUUUUUCUUCGUCUGCCCCUCCCUCACUUUCCGGGGAUUUGGUCAUUUCCUUGGUCAUAGUUGGAUUCCCAGCUCGUGGUCAAACAGACCAACCCCACCCUUUCCUUCUGGAAGCUGACACCAAAAGCUGCCCCAAGGUUGUGGGGAUUCCCGGGCAGGAUGGAGGUCGGGGCCCGGCUGCCAUGCGGUGCAGUGGUCCCCGCAGAGACCCGCGGUCAGUCAUCAUCCCUUGGCGUCACACUGUGCGGAGAGCCCAGGGACGCAGUCACCGCUGUCACCCGGGGUCCAAUCCCUCAACACCUCGAUGA